GCCCCUAAAGGAUAAAUGUUAAUCCAUUGGUCUUAGGAACCAAAAACUCUUGGUGCAACUCCAAGUAGUGGCU
This 73-nucleotide transfer RNA is filed under the name Anguilla nebulosa nebulosa. RNAcentral describes it as "tRNA-Leu(CUN)". It matches the Rfam family "tRNA". Rfam says of the family: Transfer RNA (tRNA) molecules are approximately 80 nucleotides in length. Their secondary structure includes four short double-helical elements and three loops (D, anti-codon, and T loops). Lineage: Eukaryota; Metazoa; Chordata; Actinopteri; Anguilliformes; Anguillidae. The record is from RNAcentral.